This 85-nucleotide non-coding RNA is filed under the name Actinomyces sp. RNAcentral's name for it is "ZTP sequence". It matches the Rfam family "ZMP/ZTP riboswitch aptamer (pfl RNA motif)". From Rfam's summary of the family: Previously known as pfl RNA. ZMP is also known as AICAR. Lineage: Bacteria; Bacillati; Actinomycetota; Actinomycetes; Actinomycetales; Actinomycetaceae. RNAcentral also lists the same sequence under 1 other name. The record is from RNAcentral.
GAGGGUGGCCGUGACUGGCGCAGGUGGAUCACCACCGGGGAGCGGUCUAGCAGUGCCUUCGACGCCGCCCGCCUGGGUGUGGGGC